This 30-nucleotide non-coding RNA is filed under the name Homo sapiens (human). Lineage: Eukaryota; Metazoa; Chordata; Mammalia; Primates; Hominidae. The record is from RNAcentral.
GGCUGAGAGAUGAAUGUUGAUGGAAGGAGU